Triticum dicoccoides is the source of this 2017-nucleotide long non-coding RNA. RefSeq lists it as uncharacterized. Lineage: Eukaryota; Viridiplantae; Streptophyta; Magnoliopsida; Poales; Poaceae. The record is from RefSeq and is a predicted model, not a curated record. The transcript has 3 exons.
CCUACCCCUCUCGCCCCUCCCCUUCCCCCACCCAACCAAACCAACCAGCCCACCCGGCACCCUUCCUCCUCCAAGAAAGCAAAGCCAUGCCCUCUGACGGGGGAUGAGAUCUGCGCCUGCGGGGAAUUUAUUGGCUCUCUCCACCGGCGAGGCUUGGGGAGGCCGACGUUCCCUGUCGAGACCCGUCGCGCACGUCCUCCAGCGCCACCCGCAGCACGUCGAGUACACCACCACCCUGGAGUGCCUCGGCCUGGCCGACCUCUCGUCCCCGCACCCCCGGGCGCGUGCCGCCGCCAUGGGCAUCAUGCCCCUCCAAGUCCAUGCAGUGGGCGCCGCCGAGGAAACGAUGCAAUGGCUCUCCCCAACACCCCUCCCGUGGACUACCCCAGUUUCAAGCUCGUCCUCGUCCGCGACAGCAACACCGGCAAGACAAUGUUCGUGUAGAGGCAUAUCAUCGGGGAGUUCGAGAAGAAGUACGAACGUAAGUGAGCCUGUCGAUGAUUCUAGUUUGGUUCCUUCCCCGCCCCUCGAUCGCAUCUCGUGUUUCUGUUGAGGGAUGAUGUUGCCUUUGAUGUUGUUGACUGUUGUUGUUGAUCUGCACGAUGUUCUGUAGCGAUGAUCGGUGUGGAGGUGCGGUCACUGGACUUCCAGAUGAGCCACGUCAAGAUCAGGUUCUACUGCUGGGACACAGCCGGACAGGAGAAGUUCGGUGGCCUCCGUGACGGAUACUAGUGAUCAUUGGUGCUGUUGCUGCCGCUGUGCAAGUCGGAGGUGUCGCUGCUACAUUUGGUGGAGCUAGUGCUGCCGCUCCAAAGGGCAACCUUCAUCAGACACUACCUCAUAAUAGUGCCUCAAAGUUCUGUGCCCCAUCUCCCCUCUUUCUAAAUUACUAUAAAAACAUUGUAAAUACUAGUAGGAAAACAUGUCAAAUUUUUUGUGUAUAUAACUGGAAUAACCCUGCAGUUUGGUUCCGCAGAGUGGUAAAUUCAACCUUGAUGCUUUAUGGGUUUGUGUUCCUUUGUUUUAUUUCCCUUUUGAUCUGUAUUGUCAGUUGGCUAGUUCUGCACUUGUCUUUUUUUUCAACCUUGUUUCAUACUGGUAGAAAAAUAAGGAACCGGAACAUCAUCGGCUUUUGUGGGAAAUACUGAUCUUGACAUUGUGACAAUUCAUCCUGUGACUCUUCUCUGAUCUCCAAUAAAGAGAGUAAACUUGGCCCAAUUUAUUUGUCUGCAAAUGAUUGGGUGUGACCCACAAAGAAUUGUUCUGGUUACUUAUUUUUUUAGGGUGGUUCCUCUUUUUUUACUGGUUCAUCCGCUCCUUUGUGAUUGAUCUAUUGGCUCCGGCCGCUCCUUCGUGAUAGAUUCGAUUAACUCUUUAUUAGCCUUGUGGGUCGUAAUUCUUCCUCUACAGACGCAUAUACUGCCUGGCGUAUUGCUCAUGCUCAUUCUGUACAGAGAUAGUCCUAAUAUCCGUAGGGUUGUAGAUUGAUUUCCCCUGAAAAAGCUACGCUUCUUUCCUCGGAUGAUAAGCAUGUUCGGCAUCUAUGUUUAAUCCUUAAGAUAAAUGGUCUUUAGUUUCUUUUGGUGCAUCUGCGUGCACAUAACAGUCUGUUAGUUUCUCUUUAUAUAAUUAAGAAAAUAUGAUGAUGUCGUUUGUUUAUUAUUAUCUAUCAUCUGUAGAUUGAGUUUUAGGCCACCAAUACUUGUAUGUAUAAUUUCUAGUCUCUUGAAUGAAUAAUUUUCCUUUAGGUGUCAUGCGUCUUGUGUUACUACAUACAUCUGUCAUGAAGUGCAUGGUUCCGGAACUAUGGUAACCCGUAGUUUGCUCUACUGGUGACAGUAGUAUGAUGGAAACAUCGACACUGAAUGUAGUUCCUGUUUCUUCAACUAAUCAUCAUUUACUAGAGUAUCUCUUGUUCUUGCUCCUGCUUGGUUUUUGACGCCACUAGCUUGUACUGAAACAUGCAGACUUUACCCCUUGCUAGAUCCUUCGGUGGAGGUGACCCAUGUGAUGGUGA